GGUCUGGAUAGGUAUAAACAGUAUAGUGGUGUAUCUGUAGGGUCUGGAUAGGUAUAAACAGUAUAGUGGUGGAUCUGUAGGGUCUGGAUAGGUAUAAACAGUAUAGUAGUGUAUCUGUAGGGUCUGGAUAGGUAUAAACAGUAUAGUAGUGUAUCUGUAGGGUCUGGAUAGGUAUAAACAGUAUAGUGGUGGGGUCUGGAUAGGUAUAAACAGUAUAGUGGUGGAUCUGUAGGGUCUGGAUAGGUAUAAACAGUAUAGUGGUGGGGUCUGGAUAGGUAUAAACAGUAUAGUGGUGGAUCUGUAGGGUCUGGAUAGGUAUAAACAGUAUAGUGGUGGAUCUGUAGGGUCUGGAUAGGUAUAAACAGUAUAGUGGUGGAUCUGUAGGGUCUGGAUAGGUAUAAACAGUAUAGUGGUGGGGUCUGGAUAGGUAUAAACAGUAUAGUGGUGGAUCUGUAGGGUCUGGAUAGGUAUAAACAGUAUAGUGGUGGAUCUGUAGGGUCUGGAUAGGUAUAAACAGUAUAGUGGUGGAUCUGUAGGGUCUGGAUAGGUAUAAACAGUAUAGUGGUGGAUCUGUAGGGUCUGGAUAGGUAUAAACAGUAUAGUGGUGGGGUCUGGAUAGGUAUAAACAGUAUAGUGGUGGAUCUGUAGGGUCUGGAUAGGUAUAAACAGUAUAGUGGUGGAUCUGUAGGGUCUGGAUAGGUAUAAACAGUAUAGUGGUGGAUCUGUAGGGUCUGGAUAGGUAUAAACAGUAUAGUGGUGGAUCUGUAGGGUCUGGAUAGGUAUAAACAGUAUAGUGGUGGGGUCUGGAUAGGUAUAAACAGUAUAGUGGUGUAUCUGUAGGGUCUGGAUAGGUAUAAACAGUAUAGUGGUGGAUCUGUAGGGUCUGGAUAGGUAUAAACAGUAUAGUAGUGUAUCUGUAGGGUCUGGAUAGGUAUAAACAGUAUAGUGGUGGAUCUGUAGGGUCUG
Molecule: long non-coding RNA, 966 nt
Organism: Oncorhynchus keta (chum salmon)
Lineage: Eukaryota; Metazoa; Chordata; Actinopteri; Salmoniformes; Salmonidae
Exons: 6
Source: RefSeq, a predicted model, not a curated record